UCAACCCAUUUAACUUUCUAACCCAUCAAAUUAAAUGAGUUCAUGGGUUAAUCUAAAUGAGUUGAGUAACCCAUAAACUCAUUUAACUCUAAACUCAUUGGGUAAUGAGU
This 110-nucleotide microRNA precursor is filed under the name Arabidopsis lyrata subsp. lyrata. RNAcentral's name for it is "pre miRNA MIR405". The record is from RNAcentral. Lineage: Eukaryota; Viridiplantae; Streptophyta; Magnoliopsida; Brassicales; Brassicaceae.